This 429-nucleotide ribosomal RNA is filed under the name uncultured bacterium. RNAcentral describes it as "bacterial SSU rRNA". It matches the Rfam family "Bacterial small subunit ribosomal RNA", at positions 917 to 1349 of the family's 1533-position model. The record is from RNAcentral.
GGGCCCGCACAAGCGGUGGAGUAUGUGGUUUAAUUCGAUGAUACGCGAGGAACCUUACCAGGGCUUAAAUGCAGAACGACAGACUAUGAAAAUAGUUUUUCUUCGGACGUUUUGCAAGGUGCUGCAUGGUUGUCGUCAGCUCGUGCCGUGAGGUGUUGGGUUAAGUCCCGCAACGAGCGCAACCCCUAUUCUUAGUUGCCAGCGAGUAAUGUCGGGGACUCUAAGGAAACUGCCCGCGCAAGCGUGGAGGAAGGUGGGGAUGACGUCAAAUCAUCACGGCCCUUACGUCCAGGGCCACACACGUGCUACAAUGGUAGGGACAGAGGGCAGCCACCUGGUGACAGGGAGCGAAUCCUAAAACCCUAUCUCAGUUCGGAUCGAAGUCUGCAACUCGACUUCGUGAAGCUGGAAUCGCUAGUAAUCGCGCAU